This is a non-coding RNA of Manis javanica (Malayan pangolin), 239 nucleotides long. The record is from RefSeq and is a predicted model, not a curated record. NCBI's taxonomy places the organism in Eukaryota, Metazoa, Chordata, Mammalia, Pholidota, Manidae.
AGGAUUUCUGACACCAGAAGACCUAGGGUACAGGAAUUGAGAAACCAGCCUCAGCCACAAGGACCCACACCUCUCUCACUUGCCCUUCACUGAAGACUCCACCACCCCCAAGCAAAGAAGUGCAGUCUAGACCAGCACCAGCCAACAGAGAGAACGCAAGCCGCCAGAGAGCCACGAGUGUAAUUUUUAAUUUUCUAGUGGCCACAUUUUUUAAGGUUAAAAUAAACAGGUGAAGUUCA